UGAGUUUAGGUUAUUGAAUGUCGUAGCUACGGAAUCAUCAUUAUUUUCCAAUGAAGGGAAAGGGGAUCGUUACGUCUUUUGUUGCAGAGCUCGGAUGAUUGAGGUGCAAAGAGAAGAAAGGGUUUUUGUUUAAAUAGGCCCAAAUAAUUAGAUCAUUUAAGUCUAAAUUAUAAGGCAUUAAGCCUGUGAUGGUGGGAAACGAUAAAAGUUCCGAUCCCAAUAUUAAGAUGACUUGGCAGAAUGAAUGGCUGAGAAUAUUUUGCCUAGGUGGCACCCUUUAGAACAUCUAAAAUUAGUCCCUAUUAUAUAGUGGGAUAUACUAUCGUCUUUGAAUUUUGUGACAUUCCUAAAAUAUUAUAUUAUAUUUUUGAAGUAUCAAAAUGAUUUUCUACAGGCGGCCCCCGAAAACAAGGGCGUUUAAAAUGAUUUGGAAUAUUUUAAAAAAUAUUAUUUCCCUAAAUAAUUACACUAGAAAAACUGCCAAUUAUUGUAAAAAAUGCCAAUUGGAAAUUCCAAUAGAACACAACAAAAUAAGAGAUUUGUUUUGUAAUGGUUUGGACAAAAAAAAUACUUUCCAUAAUCGUGUUGAUUACUGGAUUAAUUUGGGAUAUACAAAUAAUGAGAUGAAAAAUAAAGAAAAUCUUUGAUAAAAAAAUAAAAAAAAGUAGCCAUGUAAAGAUUUUAUCAGAAAAAAAUGUCAAUUAGAAAUGAAGAGGGAUAAAAUUCUCUCUCUCACGCAUAACCUUGUAGUUAUACAUAACAUGUUAUACUAUACUAUAUUAUAUUAUAUUUAGCAAUUAAUAAUAUAGAAAAUUGAUUCAUAUCACUAUCAACAUAGAGAUAAUAAUGACUUUCGGCUAUAGAAUAGUACAUAAUAAUUAGAUAACUUAUAUAUUUUACAAUAAAAUGUUAUUUUUAUUUUAUGUUUUACUAAUAAAUAGAAUGGUAUAUUAAAUAGUCACUUUUCAUCAUCG
This 974-nucleotide long non-coding RNA is filed under the name Brassica rapa (field mustard). RNAcentral describes it as "long non-coding RNA (BRAP_LNC002915)". Lineage: Eukaryota; Viridiplantae; Streptophyta; Magnoliopsida; Brassicales; Brassicaceae. The record is from RNAcentral.